Long non-coding RNA from Carya illinoinensis, 982 nucleotides. RefSeq lists it as uncharacterized. Lineage: Eukaryota; Viridiplantae; Streptophyta; Magnoliopsida; Fagales; Juglandaceae. The transcript is spliced from 2 exons. The record is from RefSeq and is a predicted model, not a curated record.
CAAUUGGAAGGGCCCAAAGAUUAAAGCCUCGCCCCAUGAGUUGUCAAGAUGAGAGAAUCUUAAAACCGGUCGGCCUAUUAAAUCUCAAAUAACAGUCCUUGAAAGAGAUAUUGACAAAUAGACUCCUCAUCGUAAUUCCUAUGUGCUGCAGACUAGAUGAAACCCGUUUUUCCCUUUUGACACUUCUGCCACCCGAUGUUAGCGUCUCCUUCCACCAACCCAAAUCUCAAACUAGAAAUAAUAAAAAAAUGAAAUACAUCCAGCAAAAAUAAUGAGUCGGGGAAAACGAAAAAUGGACCAGCAAGGGUGCUUGUGGUGGCGUCGAUCUGCUGCACUCAGGUGGAAGAAUCGAGCUCCAACCAGUAGUUGCCGCAACAACCCACCACCCACGUCGUCGCUACCAUUUUCUCCAUCAUUGGCACCAUUUUUUGGGCUCAUUUACCAAUUGUUCUUAUUCAAGAACUUGGGAGAUGAAGAACAUUCAACAUUUUGAAGCAAUAGGAUCUGGGAAAGUUAGAAAACAAAUUGUCGCUGUUGAUUUGAGGUGGGUGACUCAUUUAAUGUCAUCGUAGAGAUUAGAUGGGUAUGGUAAGGGGGUGAUGGUGAGAACAAUGCCCCGAUGCCCGAUGGUGAACCAAAAUUUUACUCAUUGAAGCUCGUGGAAGAAUAAAAGGAAAUGGGAAGAAGAAGAGAUGAAGACGAGGGAAAUGGAAAUAGGGGAAGAAGACAAGGGAAGAAGAAGAGACGAAGCCGAACUCAAGUUUGCCUGUAGUGUGAACGCAAUAAAGGAGCUUUGGGAUUUGGAAAAGGAAGAGAAAGGGGGCCAGGUUUCAAUUAAUUAAAUAUCUAGUGUAGUGUUCUCUACUUCUUUUGUAUGUGUUUGCUUAUGUGGAACACUUCAAUUGGAUGUUGUUUAUUGCUCAACAACGGACGGACCGUUGCAAAGCGGCCCUCUGUCAAGAUAUAUUUAUUUUGACACCAA